Long non-coding RNA from Gallus gallus (chicken), 514 nucleotides. RefSeq lists it as uncharacterized. The transcript is spliced from 3 exons. Lineage: Eukaryota; Metazoa; Chordata; Aves; Galliformes; Phasianidae. The record is from RefSeq and is a predicted model, not a curated record.
AUGCGUGCCAAGUCUGCAGACACAGAGGAAUAAGUUUUCCCUGCAGAUGGAGCUUGUCUAAGCAAGGAGAGAUUUGAGGUGCUGUUUGGUAAUGGAAGAUGGAGAGAGGAAAAGCUGUGCAUAGCCAGCGCAUCCCAUCUGCACCGUUGUUCCCAUGCACAAAGGAGAGGAGCAUCUCAGCAAGCAUGGCCUGGGCCAUGGAAGGGAGCAUACAGACAUCUGGACCAACCCGAAAGGAGUUAGUUCUGCAGGUUGGUUGCUUUCUGCUGUUUGUCCCACAUCCUGUUGCUCAGUGGUAGAUUUGUUCACGGUCAGUGCUAACAGGAAUGUCCCAGAGCAUUGUGGUUUCAGCUGUCGCAACACUUUGAUCCCUUGCUUGCUGGGCUGGGGCGUUUGAGGAAUGAUGCAUGUGCUGAUGUGCAGCCAGGCACUAGGGAUGAGUCUGCUUAGCAAGGAGGGCAGGUGGUGAACCUCAUGAAGCAAUGCCUGCAGACGGGGUUUGCGGAGCAAGAGG